RNAcentral lists this long non-coding RNA (205 nucleotides) under Amborella trichopoda. RNAcentral's name for it is "long non-coding RNA (ATRI_LNC005185)". Lineage: Eukaryota; Viridiplantae; Streptophyta; Magnoliopsida; Amborellales; Amborellaceae. The record is from RNAcentral.
UUAUUUUGAUUUUGGUAAGCAAAGACUUUGUGCCAUGCUUCAAUAUAUUCACUAUAUUUAUAUGAUUUAUAUUGGAAUACUGGAUUGAGAAGCUUUUUCCCUUGAUUGGGAUUGCAGCCCCAAUCUUCAUAUGAAAGUAACCUUUUGAUUUGCAAUUUUGAAUAUGCAAAUAUUUUGGUAUUUUCUUGGUAGAAAUGUACUAUGG